RNAcentral lists this ribosomal RNA (499 nucleotides) under uncultured bacterium. RNAcentral describes it as "bacterial SSU rRNA". It matches the Rfam family "Bacterial small subunit ribosomal RNA", at positions 899 to 1397 of the family's 1533-position model. The record is from RNAcentral.
ACUCAAAGGAAUUGACGGGGGCCCGCACAAGCGGUGGAGCAUGUGGUUUAAUUCGAUGCAACGCGAAGAACCUUACCAAGGCUUGACAUGGAUUUGACCACCAUAGAGAUAUGGAUUCCCUUCGGGGCAAAUCACACAGGUGGUGCAUGGUUGUCGUCAGCUCGUGUCGUGAGAUGUUGGGUUAAGUCCCGCAACGAGCGCAACCCCUACGUUCAGUUGCCAGCGCGUGAAGGCGGGUACACUGGAGGGACUGCCGUGGAUAACACGGAGGAAGGUGGGGAUGAUGUCAAAUCAUCAUGCCCCUUAUGUCUUGGGCUACACACGUGCUACAAUGGUCUUUAACAGAGUGUUGCGAUGCGGCGACGCAAAGCUAACCACAAAACAGGACCUCAGUUCGGAUUGUAGGCUGCAACCCGCCUGCAUGAAGUCGGAAUCGCUAGUAAUCGCGAAUCAGCAUGUCGCGGUGAAUACGUUCCCGGGCCUUGUACACACCGCCCGU